Molecule: long non-coding RNA, 642 nt
Filed under: Homo sapiens (human)
Lineage: Eukaryota; Metazoa; Chordata; Mammalia; Primates; Hominidae
Description: HSALNT0271461
Source: RNAcentral
GCAUCUAUGUGUGAUGAUGUGUGGAAGAGGAGAUGGACAAGACUAAAGGAAAUUAUCCAGGUCCCCACUGACAGUGCUAAGUGACACGUGGGCCAUGGCAGAAUGUGGAGAAACAGCUGGGAACAGAGAACUCCACAACAAACCUGCAAUGGGUCUUUUCCUAAAUAUAUUAGUGAUAGGUGGCCCUAAAAGUGGAGAGAAACACUGGCUCAGGUGCACCUGCCCGAAAAGAGGAGAAGGACAAUAUCAGGAAAUGAAAUCCUAGAAGCAUACCCAUGGCUGAAGAGAACAUUCUGGCAGAAAGAAUUGUUCUGCUGUUUUGAAGUAACACAAAUCCCUCAAGAUGAAGAACUAGAUUUGGAGGUGGACCAGCAGAAGGUAUCUGUCUUCUCUUGCUUCAGUAGACUAGAAGAGGACGUACAUUUUUAGCCUACACACUCUUUGUGAAAUAAACUGCAUCCCCAAUUUUGAAAUUGACAGAUUGUUUGGCUUCAAUGACAUGACACAACUUCAGGUGUGACUCAUUUCCUCCCUUGAUAAGUGAAAUUAUGAUGUCACGUACACAUGCCAUUGUUAGGUACACAUAGGCUUGUGGGACUUCCAUGCUCUUAGGAAAUAUAUGCGGUGGGAGUAUUUGGCCCA